CGGACGUUUGCACGGCGUGAACGGAGCGAGCCCGAGCCGUGGCUUGAGACGUCGCCGCCGUCCUGAUCCGUGGAUCAGGUCCGGUGCUUUUCGGUAGCGUCGGCAGUCCACGUAGUAAAUGCAGAAAGUGGGCCGCUGGGGGGGGGGAGGCUGUGAAGUGGAUCUUGCAUUCUUCCCAGGCGGCGAAGUAGUGGGGAAAUCUCCUGCGGCAAAAGGGGAUUGUGCGGUCCAGCGAGUUUGCAGGUGCUCCGACGGCCAUGGAGUCUUGAUGCAGCCGAUAAACAGCCGCAAAAAUUGUGUGGGUGAACUAGAACACUGCUAGAGGAGGUUAACGAUAACAGCAUCACCAUGGAGCCUGUACGAUUCCGGUCAUUGCGCCGGCGGAGGUUGACCUGCCAGCACCGGCGGCUUCAAGUGCAGAUGGCCAAAUCUGUCGUGACGGCGCCACUGCAGAGCCUGCAAGUGCAUAUAAGGCUCAAGGUUCAGAGCACUCCAUAGAGCAAGUGGAUGCAAAAACCCUGGGGUGGACACAAAGAGUGCAUGUCCGUGCUGCCGCUCUAGGCAGAGCUCCUUGCCCGGACAGGGUUACAGCCCUGGAGAAGUCCGUCCGGCAAUUUGCAGGGGAACCGGAAGACAUUGUCAUUGUGCCAAAGAUAUGAACAAGUUUCGACACACUUGGUGAGGCCUAAGAUCUUUACAAUGUAUAUUUGUGGGAGAAAGGAUUUGGCAUUAGAUAUGGAAAGAGCAGGCUAAAUGUGAACCGGACGAAGUGCAUGCAAGAGAUAGUCUGUGGAUGUGCGGGGAAGCCAAUAGUUGAAAAUACUCGUUCUUGCCAGUGUGAAUGCGCUGCCCUCAUAAGAUUUUUGCUACCGGCAAGGGCCGUGUCAAGUGCAGACGCUCAGAUCUAUGCGGUGGAAGCCGCUCCAGAGGCCGCGAGUGGAGACAGGGGCGAAGCAUCCGAGCACUCCAUAGAGCAGAUUGACCCGAAGGCUCCUGGGGUGGAUGCGAAGAGUGCGGAUUGGUGCUGCUAAGCUACGCAGAGCCCCAUGCCCUAAUAGGAUUUCGGCAAUGGAGAAAUCAGUCCUGGGAUUUGCCGAGGAUAAUCGUGCCGAAAUUAGGAACAAGCUUUGAUAGACUCGGUGAAGCCUAUGAUUUUAACAAUCUGUAUUCAUGGGAGAAAGGAUUCGGCAUUAUAUAUGGAAAGAGCAGGCUAAACGUUAAUCGAACAAAACACAUGCAAGAGAUAGUGUGUGGCUGUGCGUUAUGGCAAUUUGUGUCCAUUUUUCUGGAGUUUGCAUCUGACUCAGUGAAUUUUGCGCGUACCAUUUUGUGAGAUAGUUCAUUGUGCCUGAUUACACGGCAAUUCCAAAUUCUGUUUUGUAGGCCUGGCAUGUGUUGGGUCAUCACCACCACAGGGUUUUAGGAGCACAUCAGAACCAGUUCAGUCUGGUGAAGCAAGAGGCAAUGCAGCUAGGGCGGAUGACAUGCUGCCACUGAACACAUCCACAACAGAAGCUGUUAGGAGGCAUCAGAAUUAGAUGUGCGUCAAAAGAGAUAUGCAAAUAGGGGCAGCAGGAAGUGUCGCCAGAGAAUACGGCGUACACCAUCAAGCAGGCACUCAUCAUCCUCAGGGAGCUCAGCUGAAGAUGGAGAUAAUGUUGACAUCUGCAAACAAACUACGAGAUUUCGAUGACAGAAUGCUUCAUCCCAUGUUGCUGCGGUUGGUUCGGCAAACCAACCACCAAGCGUGCUAAGGGGGGCAACGAUGCCAGUGGGCAUGACCGUGCGUGGAAGCAGCAGUGAAUUGUCUUCCCAGGAAUUACAAUUGCAGCUAGAGGAGAGAGCUCGGCUGCAGCAAUGCGUACUUCAGCAGGAGACGAUGCAGACAUGGUUGGGAACGAAUUGGAGUGGUGGUACCAGCUCAAAUUGAUUGGAAGGCCAAUCUGUGGGGGAUCCACAAGUCUACGAACAGGAGGAGCAGUGUUGGGGGAGAUUGGUAGCUCCCAUGAGCGGAUGUCAUAAAGGAGCUCACUAGCGGCGUUAGUCCAGAAUCCACGAUGGGACGGCUCGUAUAGUCUAUCUCCAUUUGAUCCGUGCUAAGGAUAGCUGACGGGGUAAAAGAGAUAGCAUCUAGGUAGUGGGCCAUGGGCCAUAAUAAAAAAUCGAAUAGAUAAGUUAUAACUGUACCUAUACCUCCUGUGGCGCUCAUCACGAGAGAAACUGGUGGUAUAGAUACCGAGAGCACUGCUGCUCGGGAUCACAACAACACUUUCGUGUAGAAUGUGCCUUUCACAUUAGCGUAAAGAUAGUAGAGAAAACAA
Long non-coding RNA from Triticum aestivum (bread wheat), 2321 nucleotides. RefSeq lists it as uncharacterized. The transcript is spliced from 8 exons. The record is from RefSeq and is a predicted model, not a curated record. NCBI's taxonomy places the organism in Eukaryota, Viridiplantae, Streptophyta, Magnoliopsida, Poales, Poaceae.